Molecule: ribosomal RNA, 200 nt
Filed under: uncultured bacterium
Lineage: Bacteria
Description: partial 16S ribosomal RNA
Rfam family: Bacterial small subunit ribosomal RNA
Source: RNAcentral
GACGAACGCUGGCGGCGUGCUUAACACAUGCAAGUCGAGGGGUCGGGAGCAAUCCUGGCACCGACGAUCGGGUGCGUAACACGUGAGCGACCUGCCGAUCUGCGGGGGAUAGCCGGCCCAACGGCCGGGUAAUACCGCAUACGCUCUGUCUGUCGCAUGGCGGACGGAGGAAACUUCCGGGGCGGAUCGAGGGGCUCGCG